RNAcentral lists this ribosomal RNA (253 nucleotides) under uncultured bacterium. Its description in RNAcentral is "partial 16S ribosomal RNA". It matches the Rfam family "Bacterial small subunit ribosomal RNA", at positions 524 to 776 of the family's 1533-position model. The record is from RNAcentral.
UACAGAGGGUGCAAACGUUGCUCGGAAUCAUUGGGCGUAAAGCGCACGUAGGCGGCCCAGCAAGCGGGGAGUGAAAGCCCUCGGCUUAACCGAGGAAGUGCUUUCCGAACUACUGGGCUUGAAUACUGGAGAGGGUCGCGGAAUUCCCGGUGUAGAGGUGAAAUGCGUAGAUAUCUGGAGGAACACCGGUGGCGAAGGCGGCAUUCUGGACCGGCAUUGACGCUGAGGCGCGAAAGCCAGGGGAGCAAACGGG